Molecule: non-coding RNA, 135 nt
Organism: Triticum aestivum (bread wheat)
Lineage: Eukaryota; Viridiplantae; Streptophyta; Magnoliopsida; Poales; Poaceae
Source: Rfam
AUACUAUUUCCUCUGUUCCGAAUUACUUGUCUUAGAUUUGUCUAGAUACGGACGUAUCUAGACUCAUUUUAGUGCUAGAUACCUCCGUAUCUAGACAAAUUUAAGACAAGUAAUUCAGAACGGAGGGAGUAGUAC